UUUGCAGAAACUGACUAAUGGUAUGACAUUCUGAAAAGCGGUUACAGAUUAAAAAUUUUUUAUUUUUGCAGAUGAUAGUGUCGAACACAGUGGAACAAAGAAAGAAGAUCUGGAUGACAAAGAAAAAUGAAGAAGAAACUCCUGCACCUGUGUACAGCGCCAAGUCAAUUCUGGACAGUUGGUUAUGGGGCAAGCAACCAGAUAAUCUUCUGCGUUUUGACACUUAGGAAAGCUUAAUCUGACGCUCCUUAUCUAAAUAACUUGGAUGGAUUAUUAGUAUUUAUGCUUUUGUCUGGCCCCCUGAGCCCCAGCGAGAGUUUCCUGAGGUACCUCACCCUUCCACAAGACAACGAGCUUGCCAUUGAUCUGCAACAGACCACGGUUGUUGUCAUGGGCCAUUUAGACCGUCUGGCUACGCCCUGUUUGCCUCCACUGUGUAGCUCUCCGACGUCUCGUAAGUCAUUAAACAAAAGGAGGCCCCGUGCGGUGGCUCAUGCCUGUAAUCCCAGCACUUUGGGAGGCCGAGGUGGGCGGAUCACAAGGUCAGGAGAUCGAGACCAUCCUGGCGAACACGGUGAAACCCCGUUUCUACUAAAAAUACAAAAAAUUAGCCGGGUGUGCUGGCGGGCGCCUGUAGUCCCAGCUACUCGGGAGGCUGAGGCAGGAGAAUGGUGUGAACCUGGGAGGUGGAGGUUGCAGUGAGCCGAGAUCCCGCCAUUGCACUCCAACCUG
This 732-nucleotide long non-coding RNA is filed under the name Rhinopithecus roxellana (golden snub-nosed monkey). Its description in RNAcentral is "lncRNA (ENSRROG00000046069.1)". The record is from RNAcentral. Lineage: Eukaryota; Metazoa; Chordata; Mammalia; Primates; Cercopithecidae.